CAAUAGCGUAUAUUAAAGUUGUUGCAGUUAAAAAGCUCGUAGUUGGAUUUCGGGACGGGCCAGUUGGUCCGCCGCAGGGUGUGUUACUGACUGGUCUGUUCUUCUUCGCAAAGACUGCGUGUGCUCUUCGUUGAGUGUGCGUAGGAUUUACGACGUUUACUUUGAAAAAAUUAGAGUGUUCAAAGCAGGCUAUCGCUUGAAUACAUGAGCAUGGAAUAAUGGAAUAGGACUUUGGUCCUAUUUUGUUGGUUUCUAGGACCGAAGUAAUGAUUAAGAGGGACAAUUGGGGGCAUCCGUAUUUCGUUGUCAGAGGUGAAAUUCUUGGAUUUACGAAAGACGAACAACUGCGAAAGCACUUGCCAAGAGUGUUUUCAUUAA
Molecule: ribosomal RNA, 378 nt
Filed under: uncultured eukaryote
Lineage: Eukaryota
Description: partial 18S ribosomal RNA
Rfam family: Eukaryotic small subunit ribosomal RNA
Source: RNAcentral